RNAcentral lists this ribosomal RNA (253 nucleotides) under uncultured bacterium. RNAcentral describes it as "partial 16S ribosomal RNA". It matches the Rfam family "Bacterial small subunit ribosomal RNA", at positions 524 to 776 of the family's 1533-position model. The record is from RNAcentral.
UACGUAGGGGGCAAGCGUUGUCCGGAUUUAUUGGGCGUAAAGAGCGUGUAGGCGGCUUUGCAAGUCCGUUGUGAAAACUCGAGGCUCAACCUCGAGACGCCGGUGGAAACUGCAAAGCUAGAGUCCGGAAGAGGAGAGUGGAAUUCCUGGUGUAGCGGUGAAAUGCGCAGAUAUCAGGAAGAACACCGAUGGCGAAGGCAGCUCUCUGGGACGGUACUGACGCUGAGACGCGAAAGCGUGGGGAGCGAACAGG